This 3315-nucleotide long non-coding RNA is filed under the name Homo sapiens (human). RNAcentral describes it as "HSALNT0382335". The record is from RNAcentral. Lineage: Eukaryota; Metazoa; Chordata; Mammalia; Primates; Hominidae.
AGAUAGAGUCAGGGUGGAGUGCAGUGGUGUGAUCUCAGCUCACUGCAGCCUCCACCUCUCCUGGGUUCAAGCAAUUCUUCUGCCUUAGCCUCCUGAGUAGCUGGGAUUGCAGGAAUGUGCCACCACGCCCGGCUAAUUUUUGUAUUUUUAGUAGAGAUGGGGUUUCACCAUGUUGGCCAGACUGGUCUCAAACUUCUGACCUCUAGUGAUCCACCUGCCUCACCCUCCCAAAGUGCUGGGAUUACAGGCGUGAGCCACUGUGCCUGGCCUCAACUCUAUUCUUUCCCUUCCCUUUCCUGCCCUGUAGUCUUUCCAUUCCCAGGCCAACCCAGAGAGUUGCUGAGCCUGUGGGAUUGAUGUGAGGAAGGUCUCUGAAGUCCCUCUUGUUCCUCUUCUCCAUCCCCAGCUGCUGUCCCUCAAUUUGGUCCUCACUUCACCCAUGUUGACAGUUGUGUCCUAGCCAGUCUUCCCGCUGUUGUCCUACCAUGCUGUUGCACUCCCUUCACUGCUGAUAGAAUGAUCAUGUCACCCCUGACUGCAAAUCUCUAGUUGUUCCCCGUUGCCUGUAGAGCAACAUCCAAAGUCCCACAAUCUGGCCCCACCCUCUUCAGACUGGUUCCCUGAUACUCCAGACUCUUCUCUCCACACACCCCUCCACAGCCUCCAUAACCUUCUCUCUUCUGAACACAUGCAAGCUCUUUUUAAAGAUUCUCGGCCAGGUGCGGUGGCUCAAGCCUGUAAUCCCAGCACUUUGGGAGGCCAAGGCGGACGGAUCACAAGGUCAGGAGAUCAAGACCAUCCUGGCUAACACGGUGAAACCCUGUCCCUACUAAAAAUACAAAAAAUUAGCUGGGCAUGGUGGCACACACCUGUAAUCCUAGCUACUCAGGAGGCUGAGGCAGGAGAAUCACUUGAACCUGGGAAGCGGAUGUUGCAGUGAACUGAGAUCACGCCACUGCACUCCAGCCUGGACGACAGAGUGAGACUCCGUCUCAAAAAUAUAUACAUAUAUAAAAUAAAUAAAUAAAUAAAGAUCCUGUGGCUUUGCAAGUGUGGUUCUUGCCUUCCUCUUUACUGUUUGCUAGGUUUCUUUCAUCUCUCAAGAUCCAACUCAGAUUCCAGCUCAGUAGAGCCUUCCCUGACUCUCCCAGACAGCUUAAUUACUCUCUCCUCUAUGAUCACACUGUGUCUCACCCUGUGUCUGCCCUCACCCUGUUACAGUGCUGAUCAUGUGCCAUCACCUCUUGCCCUGGCUUCUGUGUGAUUCUCUGUACUAUUUGCUUCUCAAAGGCAGGAAUCAAGGUUCUUUCUUGGUUUCCCUAGCCCAGUGCUUGGCAUGGAAUGGUUUGUGUAUGGAGAGACUACACAGAGGUGCGAGGAGAUAGUAAGUGUCCCAUUUUGAGGGUAGAUUCCUUUAGAGGAUUGGUGCCAGGUCCUGGAAGGCCUUGAAUGCCCGGCCAGGUGACUCAGACUUGCUUUUCUGAAGGGUUCCACACAUUGCAGCCGGUGGCAGGAAGCGAGGCCUGAGUGUACCUUGCUCACUUACUGUUUUUUUUUUUUUUGGAGAUGGGGUCUGUCUCUGUCACCCAGGCCAGGGUGCAGUAGCGCAAUCAUGGCUCACUGCAGCCUCGACCUCCUGGGCUCAGGCAGUUCUCCUGCCUCAGCCUCCAGUGUAGCUGGGACCACAGGUACCCACGACGAGACCUGGCUGAUUUUUUUUUUUUUUUGAGACGGAGUCUCACUCUGUUGCCCAGGCUGGAGUGCAAUGGAGUGAUCUCGACUCACUGCAAUCUCCCCGCCUCCCAGGUUCAAGUGAUUCUCUUGCCUCAGCUUCCCAAGUAGCUGGGGUUACAGGCGCCUGCCACCACACCCGGCUAAUUUUUGUAUUUUUAGUAGAGACUGGGUUUCAUCAUGCUGGCCAGGCUGGUCUCAAACUCCCAACCUCAGGUGAUCCGUCCACCUCAGCCUCCCAAAAUGCUGGGAUUACAGGUAUGAGCCACUGCACCCGGCCUAAUUUUCGUAUUCUCUGUAGAGACGGGGUUUCAUCAUGAUGCCCAGGCUGGUCUUAACUCCUGGGCUCAAGCGAUUCUCUCACCUCAGCCUCUUAGAUAGCUGGGAUUAUGUAUAUGUGUUUUUAAAAUCAAAAUAACAUGACCAUAUUAUAGAAAAUUUGGAAAACAGAAAAUAAGUCUUCCAUAUUUCUACCAGUCAUUUGCAACCAUUGUUAAUUAUUUAUUUAUUUAUUGAGAUGGAGUCUCACUCUGUCCCCCAGACUGGAGUGCAGUGGUGUGAUCUCGGCUCGCUGCAAGCUCCACCUCCUGGGUUCACACCAUUCUCCCACCUCAGCCUCCAGAGUAGCUGGGACUACAGGCGCCCGCCACCACGCCCGGCUAAUUUGGUUUUGUAUUUUUAGUAGAGACAGGGUUUCACCGUGUUAGCCAGGAUGGUCUCGAUCUCCUGACCUCGUGAUCUGCCCACCUUGGCCUCCCAAAGUGCUGCGAUUAUAGGCGUGAGCCACCAUGCCCGACCAGAAAGCCUGUUCUGUAUUGCUGCACCAUCUUCAUAGCUGUGAUGCUUAGUGGCGUUGUGGGCCUUCAAGGGGAUGCGUACCAAAACAUACCUGUGGUCUCUGUCAUUGGAUGUUUGUUUCGUGCUUUUUUCUCCUAUUGUAAGUCCUGGUCCUAUGAAUAUCAUUGCAGGUACAGAUUUUUACAUGUUUUUGUGAUAUUUUCUUAGGACAGAUUCUCAGGUAUCAGGUCAGAGAGCACCAAGGUCAAUUGUGGCUCUUUGUGCACUGGGACCCAGCUAGCCACUCUGGGGGUGAUUGCUUUUUCGUGCUCUGUGACACUCAGCCUCAUCUCCAAAGCCAAUAGGACUUCACAGAGGUUCCAGAGUGUUGCUGACUCUCUGCCUCUCAGCAUGACCCUGAAUUUUUAAUGUUUUAAAAUUUAUUUAUUUAUUUAUUUUUCCCUGAGUUGAGUCUCGCUCUGUUGCCCAGGCUGGAGUGCAGUGGCACGAUCUUGGCUCACUGCAACCUCUGCCUCCUGGGUUCAAGUGAUUCUCCUGCUGCAGCCUCCUGAGUAGCUGGGAUUACAGGCACCCGCCACCAUGCCUGGCUAAUUUUUGUACUUUUAGGAGAGAUGGGGUUUCACCUUGUUAGCCAGACUGGUCUUACACUCCUGACCUCAGGUGAUCUACCCGCCUCAGCCUCCCAAAGUGCUGGGAUUACAGGCAUGAGCCACCGUGCCUGGCCAGAAUUUAUUUAUUAUUAUUAUUAUUGUUUAUUUUUUUGAGACAGAGUCUUGCUCUGCUGCC